Desmophyllum pertusum is the source of this 73-nucleotide non-coding RNA. The record is from the annotation of a GenBank genome assembly. NCBI's taxonomy places the organism in Eukaryota, Metazoa, Cnidaria, Anthozoa, Scleractinia, Caryophylliidae.
GACCCACUGGCCUACUGGUUAGCAUGUUGGACUCCAGAUCGAGUGGUCCAGGUUCGAGCCCUGGUCAGAGUCA